CAGUAGAUAGUUUAAAUCAAAAUUUUAGUUUUGGAAACUAAAGAUAUUAGAAGUUCUUCUGA
RNAcentral lists this transfer RNA (62 nucleotides) under Pachypsylla venusta (hackberry petiole gall psyllid). Its description in RNAcentral is "tRNA-Pro". The record is from RNAcentral. Lineage: Eukaryota; Metazoa; Arthropoda; Insecta; Hemiptera; Aphalaridae.